GAGCUUGGGUGGCGCAGCUAACGCAUUAAGUUAUCCGCCUGGGGAGUACGGUCGCAAGAUUAAAACUCAAAGGAAUUGACGGGGGCCUGCACAAGCGGUGGAGCAUGUGGUUUAACUCGAAGCAACGCGCAGAACCUUACCAGCCUUUGACAUCCUACGACGGUUUCUGGAGACAGACUCCUUCCCUUCGGGGACCUAGUGACAGGUGCUGCAUGGCUGUCGUCAGCUCGUGUCGUGAGAUGUUGGGUUAAGUCCCGCAACGAGCGCAACCCUCGUCCUUAGUUGCCAUCAUUUAGUUGGGCACUUUAAGGAAACUGCCGGUGAUAAGCCGGAGGAGGGUGGGGAUGACGUCAAGUCCUCAUGGCCCUUACAGGCUGGGCUACACACGUGCUACAAUGGCAUCUACAGUGGGCAGCUAUCCCGCAAGGGUGAGCUAAUCUCCAAAAGAUGUCUCAGUUCGGAUUGUCCUCUGCAACUCGAGGGCAUGAAGGCGGAAUCGCUAGUAAUCGCGGAUCAGCAUGCCGCGGUGAAUACGUUCCCAGGCCUUGUACACACCGCCCGUCACACCAUGGGAGUUGGAUUCACCCGAAGGCAGUGCGCUAACCGCAAGGAGGCAGCUGA
RNAcentral lists this ribosomal RNA (621 nucleotides) under uncultured bacterium. RNAcentral's name for it is "bacterial SSU rRNA". It matches the Rfam family "Bacterial small subunit ribosomal RNA", at positions 835 to 1456 of the family's 1533-position model. The record is from RNAcentral.